This 685-nucleotide ribosomal RNA is filed under the name bacterium SL4.32. RNAcentral describes it as "bacterial SSU rRNA". It matches the Rfam family "Bacterial small subunit ribosomal RNA", at positions 57 to 741 of the family's 1533-position model. The record is from RNAcentral.
GCAGUCGAACGGGAUCUAGAAGCUUGCUUUUAGUGAGAGUGGCGCACGGGUGCGUAACGCGUAUGCAACCUACCUUAUACAGGGGGAUAGCCCGGGGAAACUCGGAUUAAUACCCCAUGGUACAUUUGGAUGGCAUCAUUUAAAUGUUAAAGAUUUAUCGGUAUAAGAUGGGCAUGCGUAGGAUUAGCUAGUUGGUAAGGUAACGGCUUACCAAGGCGACGAUCCUUAGGGGUUCUGAGAGGAAGGUCCCCCACACUGGUACUGAGAUACGGACCAGACUCCUACGGGAGGCAGCAGUAGGGAAUAUUGGGCAAUGGUCGAAAGACUGACCCAGCCAUGCCGCGUGCAGGAAGACGGCCUUAUGGGUUGUAAACUGCUUUUAUCAGGGAAGAAAAAGGUCAUGCGUGGCAAAUUGCCGGUACCUGAUGAAUAAGCACCGGCUAACUCCGUGCCAGCAGCCGCGGUAAUACGGAGGGUGCAAGCGUUGUCCGGAUUUAUUGGGUUUAAAGGGUGCGUAGGCGGGGGAUUAAGUCAGUGGUGAAAGUCUUGGGCUCAACCCAGGAAUUGCCAUUGAUACUGAUUUUCUUGAGUGUCGAUGGGGUACAUGGAAUUUAUGGUGUAGCGGUGAAAUGCAUAGAUACCAUAAAGAACACCGAUAGCGAAGGCAUUGUACUUAUCGAUAACU